CGGACGGGUGCGUAACGCGUGGGUAAUCUGCCUUUGUCAAAGGAAUAACUAUUCGAAAGAAUAGCUAAAACCGUAUAACAUAUUAAUAGGGCAUCCUAAUAAUAUCAAAACGAUAGUGGACAAAGAUGAGCCCGCGUCUGAUUAGCUAGUUGGUGAGAUAAAAGCCCACCAAGGCAAGGAUCAGUAGCCGACCUGAGAGGGUGAACGGCCACAUUGGAACUGAGAUACGGCCCAG
RNAcentral lists this ribosomal RNA (235 nucleotides) under uncultured Eubacteriaceae bacterium. Its description in RNAcentral is "partial 16S ribosomal RNA". It matches the Rfam family "Bacterial small subunit ribosomal RNA", at positions 99 to 334 of the family's 1533-position model. The record is from RNAcentral. Lineage: Bacteria; Bacillati; Bacillota; Clostridia; Eubacteriales; Eubacteriaceae.